This 76-nucleotide transfer RNA is filed under the name Candidatus Excrementavichristensenella intestinipullorum. RNAcentral describes it as "tRNA-Gln". It matches the Rfam family "tRNA". Rfam says of the family: Transfer RNA (tRNA) molecules are approximately 80 nucleotides in length. Lineage: Bacteria; Bacillati; Bacillota; Clostridia. The record is from RNAcentral.
UGGGGCGUCGCCAAGCGGUUAAGGCACAAGACUUUGACUCUUGUACGCGCAGGUUCAAAUCCUGCCGCCCCAGCCA